GGAUUAGAUACCCUGGUAGUCCACGCCGUAAACGAUGUCAACUAGCUGUCUGUGUUCUUGAAACGUGGGUAGCGUAGCUAACGCGCUAAGUUGACCGCCUGGGGAGUACGGCCGCAAGGUUAAAACUCAAAUGAAUUGACGGGGGCCCGCACAAGCGGUGGAGCAUGUGGUUUAAUUCGAUGCAACGCGAAGAACCUUACCAUCCCUUGACAUCCAGAGAAUUUUCUAGAGAUAGAUUGGUGCCUUCGGGAACUCUGACACAGGUGCUGCAUGGCUGUCGUCAGCUCGUGCCG
Molecule: ribosomal RNA, 293 nt
Filed under: uncultured bacterium
Lineage: Bacteria
Description: partial 16S ribosomal RNA
Rfam family: Bacterial small subunit ribosomal RNA
Source: RNAcentral